RNAcentral lists this ribosomal RNA (497 nucleotides) under uncultured bacterium. Its description in RNAcentral is "partial 16S ribosomal RNA". It matches the Rfam family "Bacterial small subunit ribosomal RNA", at positions 28 to 507 of the family's 1533-position model. The record is from RNAcentral.
GAUGAACGCUGGCGGCGUGCCUAAUACAUGCAAGUCGAGCGAACGGACGAGAAGCUUGCGUCUCUGAUGUUAGCGGCGGACGGGUGAGUAACACGUGUAUAACCUACCUAUAAGACUGGGAUAACUUCGGGAAACCGUAGCUUAUACCGUAUAAUAUUUUGAACCGCAUUGUUCAAUAGUGAAAGACGGUCUUGCUGUAACUUAUAGAUGGAUCCGCGCUGCAUUAGCUAGUUGGUAAGGUAACGGCUUACCAAGGCAACGAUGCAUAGCCGACCUGAGAGGGUGAUCGGCGACACUGGAACUGAGACACGGUCCAGACUCCUACGGGAGGCAGCAGUAGGGAAUCUUCCGCAAUGGGCGAGAGCCUGACGGAGCAACGCCGCGUGAGUGAUGAAGGUCUUCGGAUCGUAAAACUCUGUUAUUAGGGAAGAACAUAUGUGUAAGUAACUGUGCACAUCUUGACGGUACCUAAUCAGAAAGCCACGGCUAACUACGUG